Molecule: non-coding RNA, 114 nt
Organism: Acanthosepion pharaonis
Lineage: Eukaryota; Metazoa; Mollusca; Cephalopoda; Sepiida; Sepiidae
Source: the annotation of a GenBank genome assembly
UUACGACCAUAUCACGCUGAAACGCCGAUUUCCAUACGAUCACCGAAGUUAAGCAACGUCGAGCCUGGUCAGUAUAUAGAUGGGUAACUGCUUAGGAAUACCAUCUGUUGUAAG